UGGGCCGUAGCCAAGCGGUAAGGCACAAGGUUUUGGUCCUUGCAUACGUAGGUUCGAAUCCUACCGGCCCAA
Molecule: transfer RNA, 72 nt
Filed under: Patescibacteria group bacterium
Lineage: Bacteria
Description: tRNA-Gln
Rfam family: tRNA
About the family: Transfer RNA (tRNA) molecules are approximately 80 nucleotides in length. Their secondary structure includes four short double-helical elements and three loops (D, anti-codon, and T loops).
Source: RNAcentral